UCUGUGCAAAGGUAGCAUAAUCAUUAGUCUUUUAAUUGAGGACUGGAANGAAAGAGUAAACCGGGAAAAUCUUUUUUAAAUUUAAAAAAUGAAGUUUAUUUUUUAGUAAGAAAGCUAAAAUAAUUCUUUUAGACGAGAAGACCCUGUAAAACUUUAUAUUUCUAAUUUUUAGAAGGAUUGGGAAAUAUUUUNCUGGGGCGGUAGGGAAAAAAUCUUUCCUUUAUUUUAAAAUACGUACAUGUAUUUAUACCUAGAAGUUCUAAAAAAGAAAUAAGUUACUUUAGGGAUAACAGCUUUAUACACUUUUAAAGAUCUAAUUGACAAGUGUGUUUAUGACCUCGAGGNUGAAUUAAAAUGCCUUUUUUAUGCNGUAGUNACAANGGAGNUCUGCUCGACC
This 397-nucleotide ribosomal RNA is filed under the name Anomalobuthus rickmersi. RNAcentral's name for it is "partial 16S ribosomal RNA". It matches the Rfam family "Archaeal large subunit ribosomal RNA", at positions 2022 to 2655 of the family's 2987-position model. Lineage: Eukaryota; Metazoa; Arthropoda; Arachnida; Scorpiones; Buthidae. The record is from RNAcentral.